This 482-nucleotide ribosomal RNA is filed under the name uncultured bacterium. Its description in RNAcentral is "partial 16S ribosomal RNA". It matches the Rfam family "Bacterial small subunit ribosomal RNA", at positions 30 to 507 of the family's 1533-position model. The record is from RNAcentral.
AUUGAACGCUGGCGGCAUGCUUUACACAUGCAAGUCGAACGGCAGCGCGGGGCAACCUGGCGGCGAGUGGCGCACGGGUGAGUAAUAUAUCGGAACGUACCCAGAAGUGGGGGAUAACGUAGCGAAAGUUACGCUAAUACCGCAUACGAUCUACGGAUGAAAGUAGGGGACCGCAAGGCCUUAUGCUUUUGGAGCGGCCGAUACCUGAUUAGCUAGUUGGUGAGGUAAAGGCUCACCAAGGCGACGAUCAGUAGCUGGUCUGAGAGGACGACCAGCCACACUGGAACUGAGACACGGUCCAGACUCCUACGGGAGGCAGCAGUGGGGAAUUUUGGACAAUGGGCGCAAGCCUGAUCCAGCAAUGCCGCGUGAGUGAAGAAGGCCUUCGGGUUGUAAAGCUCUUUUGUCAGGGAAGAAACGGUAGAGGCUAAUAUCCUUUGCUAAUGACGGUACCUGAAGAAUAAGCACCGGCUAACUACGUG